AAACAAAGCGUGAUGGCGGCCGCCGCCGCGUCGCCGUCGCCCAGAGGCACACCAAAAUUUGAAGGAUUUAGUGAAAAGAUAUACAGGAUUAUGGAAAAGUAUUAACAGAUACAAGUGAACAUAUGGAAAGUUUGAUUGCAAAGAGUAACAACAUAAUCCUUGAUGGGGAUUUCAACUGUAAGGUGUGUUGGGAGGGCUGGUCAACAGAAGGAAAUUAAAUGUCAUGGAGAAACAGGUUGCUGAAAAUAGUAAUGGAUAAUGUUCUUACAUAGUGGGUAUGGAAAAUACCAGAUUCAGAACCUUCAAGACUGAAUUUAUUGUUCACAAAAGAACCAGAAAUUAAUGAAGACCUCAACUACAGGACCCUGAUAGGGAGGUGACCACAUUUUACUUAAGUCUGGUAUAAAAGAAGAAAUGGAAAGAAGGAAGGAAAGAGGAUUACAGAAAAGGCAGGGAGAACUAUAGUAAAACAAAUUUCAGUGAAUUAAGGAAAUACUUUGAAGAAAUUGAGUGGAGUAAAUUUGAUGAAGCAAAGGGAGUGGAAGAAAAGUGGAACAAUUUGCUUGGGAUACACAAUGAAGGAAUAGAGAGAUACGUGCUAAAGACAUCUGCAAAAUGAUUUAGAGUAAAUGACUGGUUUAAUGGAAGAUAUCGGGAAGCAAGAAUGGAAAGAGAAAGAGCAUGGAAUAGAUGGAGAAGUAAUAAAAGAGGUGACCAGUGGAAGAAGUACAUGGAAGAAAGAAAGAAAUAUUUACUGAUAUGCAGGAAGGAGAAAAGAAAUUAUGAAAAGAACAUCAUAGACAAAUGCAGACCAACCAAAAUUAUUUUACCGAUAUGUGAAUGGGAAGUUAAAGAACAAACUUGGAAUAAUUAAACUACAAGUUGAUGGAGUGAUAUGUGAAAAGGCAGGAAGGAUGGCUGAAGUGAUGAAUAACUGUUUCCAGGUUUUUACAAGAAAGAGUGGUUUUCAGGAGCAGGUGGAUGUAGAGAUGAUUGACGCAGGAUUAAGUAAAAUAAAUGUUAUGGUGCAGGUGAAGAAGAUAAUAAAGGACCAAGAUGUAAGGAAAGCAAUAGGCCCAGACAGAGUAUCUAAUUCAAUUUUAGAGGAGUGUAGUCAGCAGUUGGCCGGAAAUAUCCACAGAAUCAUAAUACAUUCAUUAAAAGAGGGAAAGGUCCCAAUGGACUGGAAAAGAGUGGAUAUACUGCCAAUUUUCAAGGGAAGAAAUAAGGAAGACCCUUCAAACUACAAACCAGUGUCACUAACAAGUGUAGUGGCUAAGAUAUGUGAAAGAGUUAUAAAAGACAAAUGGAUCAAGUAUCUGGAAGAAAGCAAUGUGUUGACAAACAGACAAUUUGGUUUUCGAAGAGGAAGAUCAUGUACUACAAAUCUAUUGAGUUUCUGUUCGCAGGUUAUAGACAUUGUGCAGGAGAGAGUUGUACAGGUUGUAUUUAUUUGGACCUCGAAAAAGCAUUUGACAAAGUACUACAUAAGAGGUUGUUACAGAAACUGAAGAUUUGGAGGAUUGCAAGAAGGGCUGCUAAAGUGGAUGGAGAAUUUCUUGGAAGGUAGAGAGAUGAGAACAGUAAUUAAGGAUCAAAGCUCAGCCUGGAAGAAAGUUUUAAGAGGGGUUCUGCAGGGUCCUGUGUUGGCACCAGCAAUGUUUGCUGUGUACAUUAAUGAUAUGCCAGAAAAAAUAACCAGCUACAUUAGCUUAUUUGCAGAUGAUACAAAAUUAGUGAGAAAAACAGAAAAAGAAAAAGAUUGCACAGCACUUUCAUGGAACCUAAACAAGAUCUGGGAGUGGAGCCAAAGGAAGCAGAUGGAAUUCAAUGCAAAGAAAUGCAGUGUGACAGAAUUUGGCAAGAGUGGCAAGAGACAAAUGGGACAUUAUUCAUUGGGGAGUGAGAGAAUCAGCAAAAGAACAGAAGAAAGCGACUUUGGUGUAAUUAUUACUGAUAAGCUGUCACCAGAGAAACACAUAAACAAAAUUAGAAGUGAAACCUAUAACCUACUGAGAAACAUAAGGACAGCAUUUACAUAUCUAGAUGAGGAAAUGAAAGAAAAAAUUAUUGUGACCAUGAUAUGUCCAAGAUUGGAGUAUGCAGCUGUGAUAUGGUCACUUAGUGCCAAGAAAUCUAUAAAGAAAAUUGGAAGGGAUACAAAGAGCAGCAACAAAGUUACUCCAAGUUUGAAGGAUCCACCAUAUGAAGAAAGACUCUAAAUUGGGUCAUAUAACAUUGGAUCAGGGAAGAAAGAGAGGUGAUUUGAUCAUAAUGUGCAGAGUGAUGAGUUGAAUGGAAAACUUGGAUAGGAAGGACUGGGUGAUGUGGGAUACAAGAGGCUUGAGGGGAUAUGACAGAAAACUUUAAAAAAGAUGCUUGUAGAAGAGAUGUUAAGAAAAUAGCUUCCCACAUAGAACUGUGGAGGUCUAGAAUGAUUUGGACAAAGAAGUCACUGAUGCAAAUACAAUAAAUUAAUUUAAGACAAAGUUAGAUAAAACUAGAUAAGGAAGCAGAACUGCAUGAGCAUAGCCCUUUUCCUGUAUGUCACAACUAGGUAAAUGCGCACACACACACACACACACACACACACACACAGGACGUGUUUUCUAGUGCUCUGCAUAAAGAAGGAAGGAAGAACAAAAAUCGCUCAUGAUGGAACAAGAUAGGUAUGUUAUGAAGACACUGGAAUACCUAGUUGGUAAAUAGGGAGGGGAGAAACAGUACCGUGAGCAUAGCUAUCCUAUCUCUAGGAAAGUUUGGUUUGGUUUGUUUACAUUUUGGACAAUAUGGCAGAAGGCAGCACCCCAAGGUUUGAAGGUUUUACUGGAGAAGAAAGAGAACUAAAUUAUAGACUGCAGUAUAGAAAAAUUUUACAUAUGGAAGAAAUGAUGGACAAGUUAUUGGAAAGAAGACACUAGAGGCACACCAGAAGGAGACAGGUAAGGAGUUGGUGACUAUUACAACAAAGUUGAUUGAGAUGGAAAAUAAAAAUGAGAAGUUAAAGGUGGAAAAUGACUGUUUAAAGAAACAAAUAAAAGAAAAAGUAGAAACUGUUUAGAAAGGAAAUGAGGAAAUGAAGGAAAGUGUAAAGGAUGUGGAAAUGAGGCAAAAUAAGUGGUUAAAUGAAUGUAGAUUUGAAGAAGAAUCACUAAAGAAAAUAAUAGAACAACAAGAAAAUGAGAAACAAAACCUCAGACAGAAAGUAUUAAAUGUUAUUAAAGAAGAGAAAAAAUAAGUGAGACACAUUAUAGAAAAAUAUAAACAAGUAAAUGUAUUUGGUUUAAAGGAGGAGAAAAUAGUAAGCAUAAUCCAAAGAGAGGAAAAGAAAAAAGAACCUGUUAAAUAAGUUACUGAAGAAAGUGAUGGAUGAAGAUAGUUAGGUAGUAAAGCAAGUGGAAGAGUUCCACAGGAUUGGGAAAUAAGAAGAAAGAAAUGAGACCCCUAAGAAUCAGGUUUGCAAUACAGGUACAAGCAGAAGAGGUAAUAAAUGGGUCUUGGAGGUUGUCUGGAGAUGAAGAAUAUAAGAAUAUAUGGAUAAACAGGGAUAUGGAUGAGAUUGAAAGGUUGAAGCAAAAGCUGAUAAAUGAGGUAAAAAAGAAAAGAAAAGAAAAAAAGAACAACAAAUGGAGGAUAAAAGUUUUCUGGAGAGUAAGAGACAUGAUAAUAAAGAAAUGGAACAUCAAACAGUAAGUAAAAUAUGUUAUACUAAUGUAAAUGGAUUAAUGUCAACAAAGAUGGAAUUAAAUGAGUUAUCAAACAGAACUGCAGUUGAUGAUGCUGUAUUAUGUGAGGCAAAAUGGAAAAAUGAAUGGGGAACUCCUGACACUGGUGAUGAUGAAAUAUGAUUUAUGGAUGAAAAAUAGAAGUGGAAAGGGAGGAGGGGGAGUGAUCAUUCUGACUAAAAAAAUGUGUUAAAGUGGAGAAGGUAAUAAAAAGUGAAGACAAAUCUGAAAUUCUACAAGUGAUGAUGGAAAAGGAAGGAUAAUGAAUUAUGUAGGAGUGUAUGUGCAACCUAUGACCAAUGCUUGUCGAAAAGAAUAGCAAGAAGAGAUGUUGGUAGAUGUGUUAAAAGGUCUUGAAAAGAUAGUGAUGGAAAGUAGUGAUACAGUUACUUUUGGUUAUUUUAAUUGUAAGGAGAUAAAUUGGGAAACAUUGAGAACUACUGGAAGUGAAAACUCAUGGAGUAAUAGACUAUUAAACUGGGCGAUGGAAAACUUAAUGACUCGGGGCUGAUUGUGAUACCAGAUUUAGUGGAAGAGAUAAACCAUCAAGAUUUGAUUUAGUGUUUACCAAGGACAUGGAAAUUAUUGAAACUAUACAGUAUGGUAGCUCUCUAGGUAAAAGUGAUCAUGUGUUGAUGGAAUUUAACUUGAAAAAUGAAAAUAUAAUCACUGAUGAAAAUUAUAAGGUGAAAAGAUUUAAAUACAGUAAGGCUGACUUUGAAAAAUUAAGAAAAUACUUUGUUACCGUGGACUGGAAAGACUUUGAAGACACAGAAGAUGUUUGGGAUAAAAUGGGAUGAAUUUAUAAGGAUAUAUAAUUCUGCUGUGGAGAAGUUUGUACCUAGAGGAGGAGUAAGCUGUAGAAAGGGUAAACAAUGGUUCAAUACAAAAUGCAAAGAGGCUAGAAAUUGUAAGCUAAAUGCUUGAAAUAGAUGGAAGAAGAGGAAAAUUGAGGACAGAUGAGAGGAAUAUAUUGACGCUAGAAAUAAGUAUGUUGAGAUAAUAAGAAUGGAGAGAAGAAACUAUGAAAGAGAUAUAACAGAUAAGUGUAUAAAUGAACCCAAACUGUUCUUUAGACAUAUUAAUGGGAAGAUGAAAAAGGAAGGUGUAUCAAGAUUGAAAUUUGAAGGAAAAAUCUACGAGGAUGCACUGGACAUGGUGGAGGUUAUGAACAAUAGUUUCAGACUGGUAUUUACUGUGGAAGAGGAGUAUGAUGCUGGAAGGGAUAAGUUGGUGAGGAAUAUACUAAGUACCAGUCAGUAAUGAGGAAAUACAUAAGAUGAUGGAAGAACUUGAUGUAAAUAAAGCAACUGGUCCAGAUGGAGUAUCAAACUGGAUAUUGGAGGAAUGUAGAGAACAACUGGCUGAUAAAAUUCACACUCUAGUGGUGACAUCACUAUCACAGGGAAGGGUACUGAAAGAUUGGAAGAGAGGAAAUAAGGAAAACCCACUAAAUUAUAGACCAGUGUCCUUGACUAGUGUUAAAGGAAAAACAUGUGAAAGAACAAUAAAGGAAAGAUGGAUGAAACACUUGAAAAAAGGUAAAUUUUUGGCAAAUUGUCAAUUUGGAUUUAGGAGGGGAAGAUCAUGCUCCAUGAACUUAUUCUCCUUUUAUUCAAGGAUAAUUCAUAUUGUGCAGGAGAGAGAUGGAUGGGUAGAUGGUGUCUAUUUAGACUUGCAGAAAGCAUUUGACAAAGUACCACACUGAAAAUUGCUAUGGAAGAUAAAAAAAAAUAUGGAAAAAUUGGAGGAAGACUGCUGGAGUGGAUGGAGGAUUAUCUAGAUGAUAGAGAGAUGGGAAGAGUAAUAUAAGACUGGAAUUCAUCUUGGCUGAAAGGAACCAGUGGUGUCCUGCAGGGGUCAGUGUUGGGACCGAUAAUGUUUGUAACAUAUGUGAAUGACAUAAAUGAAGAAAUAAACAAUUAUAUGAACUUAUUUGCAGAUGAUGCUAAGCUGAUGAGAAGGGUAGAAAAUGUAAAUGACUGUAUGAUACUGAAAGAUGAUUUAAAUAAGAUAAAUAGAUGGAGUAAAUGGAAUUCAAUUUAAGUAAAUGUAAAGUAAUGGAGUUUGGUAAGUGUAAGUAAAGAAUACAAUAUCAUUAUGAGGUGGAUGGUGUGGUUACAAAAAUCAAAAGAGGAUUUUGGAGUAACAGUUACUGAAAAUUUGACUCUUGACAGACACACUGAUGAAAUUACUGGAGACAAUGAAUUUGUUGAAAAGAAUAAGAAUGGCAUUCACAUAUUUAGAUGAAGAAAUGAUAAAAAAAGUUGUUGAUUUCCAUGAUAAGACCAAGAUUGGAAUAUGUGGCAGUUGUGUGGUCACCUCAUAUAAAGAGGAAUAUCAUAAGAUUAGAAAGAGUACAAAGAGCAGUCACUAAGAUGGUUCCGAAGAUGAGUAAGUCAACCUAUGAGGAGAGAUUAAGAAUGUUGGAAAUUCCUACCCUUGAAAAUAGGAGAAAGAGGGGAUUUAAUAAACAUCUGUAGAAUGAUAAAUGGUAUGGAAAAUGGGGACAAAGAAUGUUUUAUAAAUUUACACAUGCAGAGUACAAAGGGACACAGUAAGAAGUUGAAGAAAGUUAACUGUAGAAGAGACAUAAAAAAGUAUAGUUUUCCUCACAGAAGUGCGAAGAAAUGGAAUGAACUCAGUGAAAAUGUUAUCAAUGCUGUAACUCCACGCUUUUAAGACCAAACUAGAUAGAUAUAGAGAUGGGACACUAUGAGAUUACUCCCCUCCUGUAAACCACAACUAGGUAAACACACACACACACACACACACACACACACACACACACACACACACACACACAUACA
This is a long non-coding RNA of Scylla paramamosain (green mud crab), 6535 nucleotides long. RefSeq lists it as uncharacterized. Lineage: Eukaryota; Metazoa; Arthropoda; Malacostraca; Decapoda; Portunidae. The record is from RefSeq and is a predicted model, not a curated record. The transcript is spliced from 2 exons.